Caenorhabditis elegans is the source of this 21-nucleotide non-coding RNA. Lineage: Eukaryota; Metazoa; Nematoda; Chromadorea; Rhabditida; Rhabditidae. The record is from Ensembl.
UGAAAUUUUCACAUGCUGUUU